CACCGCGGUUAUACGAGAGGCCCAAGUUGAUAGACUCCGGCGUAAAGAGUGGUUAAGACACAUCUACUAAAACUAAAGCCGAACGCCCUCAGGGCUGUUAUACGCUCCCGAAGGUAAGAAGUUCAAUCACGAAAGUGGCUUUAUAUCAGCUGAACCCACGAAAGCUAUGACA
This 172-nucleotide ribosomal RNA is filed under the name Kyphosus vaigiensis (brassy chub). Its description in RNAcentral is "partial 12S rRNA". Lineage: Eukaryota; Metazoa; Chordata; Actinopteri; Centrarchiformes; Kyphosidae. The record is from RNAcentral.